AGGAGAAUAGUUGAAAUAACAUCUUUUUUGCAAGAAGAAAUUAUUGAAUAAAAUCAAUUUCUCUUA
RNAcentral lists this transfer RNA (66 nucleotides) under Pochazia shantungensis. RNAcentral describes it as "tRNA-Ala". Lineage: Eukaryota; Metazoa; Arthropoda; Insecta; Hemiptera; Ricaniidae. The record is from RNAcentral.